This 634-nucleotide ribosomal RNA is filed under the name Tanytarsus tamaundecimus. RNAcentral's name for it is "partial 28S ribosomal RNA". It matches the Rfam family "Eukaryotic large subunit ribosomal RNA", at positions 431 to 947 of the family's 3401-position model. Lineage: Eukaryota; Metazoa; Arthropoda; Insecta; Diptera; Chironomidae. The record is from RNAcentral.
UAUCUAAACGGAGAGAUUCAAUACCGACCUUAACACUCGGUGUGCACUUCUCUCUUAGUAAGACGCCGUGAUCCAUUAGAAAUUGGUGAACGCCAGUUCAUAUGAGGUCAUCAAUGGGCUUGUACGAAGUUUAUCGGAACAAAUGGCGCGAUCUUUCAACGGUUGUGUGUAUUGUCUGGUAAGCGUGCGAGUACCCGCAAUGACUGUCUGAUGGAUUUUAAAGAUCAUAUCAUUAAUGCUUGCAUUACNCNNNUGANUGAGUGCGAUAUGUAUCCGAUCNACGGCGGUCAAAUUUGGGAUACCUUUUGGACCCGUCUUGAAACACGGACCAAGGAGUCUAUCUAAUGUGCGAGUAAAUGGGUAAUUUGUGAAACCUAUUUGCGCAAUCAACGUAACUAUUCGAUGGGAUUACGAGGCGAAUGAGUCUCUUCCAUCCCGGAGUAUUUUCAUCCACAUAUGCGCAAGUAUAUGGAAAAUAUAUCAUGAGCACAUUGGAUACGACCCGAAAGAUGGUGAACUAUGCUUGAUCAGGUCGAAGUCAGGGGAAACCCUGAUGGAGGACCGAAGCAGUUCUGACGUGCAAAUCGAUUGUCAGAAUUGAGCAUAGGGGCGAAAGACCAAUCGAACCAUCUAG